GGGGGAAAGAGGACAUCUAAAGAAACUGCUUUUCAGUGAUUAAGACCUCAUUGUACGAGAGCCACUCUUUUCACUAUGAGAAGAACAUACUUAAUUGGCUCUAAGAAAGAAACACUACAUUAAGGCUAGCAAGACCAUUAGAUAUUAGUAUUCACAUAGCCAGGAAAAGCGACAACUGUAACAUGGUAACUACUAAAACAACCAAGCAUUGGGGGAGCUGGACAAAACCAGAGUUCCUGGACCUAGCAGACCUAGAUAAGUAUAAGUGAGCGAAGACAUAGGAUAAGCUUCAGCAUUUUAUUUUGAUAGAAAGUUAUAUU
Long non-coding RNA from Alligator sinensis (Chinese alligator), 320 nucleotides. RefSeq lists it as uncharacterized. The transcript is spliced from 3 exons. The record is from RefSeq and is a predicted model, not a curated record. Lineage: Eukaryota; Metazoa; Chordata; Crocodylia; Alligatoridae.